GCAAGAAUGAAACUCAAAGGAAUUGACGGGGGCCCGCACAAGCGGAGGAACAUGUGGUUUAAUUCGAUGAUACGCGAGGAACCUUACCUGGACUUAAAUGUAGCGUGACCGUACUCGAAAGGGUAUUUCUCUUCGGAGCAGGUUACAAGGUGCUGCAUGGCUGUCGUCAGCUCGUGCCGUGAGGUGUCGGGUUAAGUCCCAUAACGAGCGCAACCCCUAUUGUUAGUUGCUAACAGGUCAAGCUGAGGACUCUAGCGAGACUGCCACCGUAAGGUGAGAGGAAGGUGGGGAUGACGUCAAGUCAGCACGGCCCUUACGUCCAGGGCUACACACGUGUUACAAUGGUCGGUACAGAGAGCAGCUACUUGGUGACAAGAUGCGAAUCUUUUAAAGCCGGUCUUAGUUCGGAUCGAAGUCUGCAACUCGACUUCGUGAAGUUGGAUUCGCUAGUAAUCGCAUAUCAGCCAUGAUGCGGUGAAUACGUUCCCGGGCCUUGUACACACCGCCCGUCAAGCCAUGGAAGCUGGGGGUACCUGAAGUCCGUAACCGCAAGGAUCGGCCUAGGGUAAAACUGGUAACUGGGGCUAAGUCGUAACAAGGUA
Molecule: ribosomal RNA, 602 nt
Filed under: uncultured bacterium
Lineage: Bacteria
Description: bacterial SSU rRNA
Rfam family: Bacterial small subunit ribosomal RNA
Source: RNAcentral